UGCUUCUUUCAUGGAGGUUCUGAACUGC
Molecule: non-coding RNA, 28 nt
Filed under: Mus musculus (house mouse)
Lineage: Eukaryota; Metazoa; Chordata; Mammalia; Rodentia; Muridae
Source: RNAcentral